Long non-coding RNA from Prosopis cineraria, 518 nucleotides. RefSeq lists it as uncharacterized. Lineage: Eukaryota; Viridiplantae; Streptophyta; Magnoliopsida; Fabales; Fabaceae. The record is from RefSeq and is a predicted model, not a curated record. The transcript has 2 exons.
CGAGUGGAUCUAAGCGGGAUGACGCGGGGGAAGCAGAAGAUCGAGGCACAACGAAGAAACGCAGAGAGGAAUCAGAAGCCAAAGGGGUCGCAGCUUGAGGCCCGAGCCGGUGGGCUUAAAGUUGCCUGUCCCAUCUGCAAGGGGGGAGUACUACAUGCUUAGUUUGAGAAACAAAUGGACACCAUCCCCCUCAGCUCACCCUGGGCCCUGAGGGGCUGCGAAUCAACUGGCCAGAAAUCCACCACCGCCUGUUUAUUUAAGAAAGAAUAUGGUGGAAUCAGGAAAUUAAAAUAAAACUGUCAGAGCGGGUUAAACUUAGAAUUCAUGCCAUGUUAAUGCUGAUGUUUUGUGAAGAGGAUAUAUAUUACACUGUAGAAGAGAAAGUGAUGUGAAUUCCUUUUUAAGAAAGUUUUUAAAUCGUAUUGAGUUUCAGAUGUUAAAUAUGCCAAUGUAUGAGACGAGUAUAAAACUGUGGAUCUUGGGAAACAGUAUGCUGAAUAUAGUCAUAAAAUUAUCCA